UAGUAACGACCAUGUUAUUAAUCAAAAGGCAAACGAAACACAAAAUCACUCUUUCUUAUUUCUGUUGCCAUCUUCACCGCACCGGAGGCCAACUCCGACGACAGAUCAAACCAAAUACAGAAGUCUUACCACCAAUCUCUCCCUCUCGAAACCCUCACUCCAAAUCCAUAAACCAGGAUCUCUAAUUCCUAAGUAAUAAUCUGAAUCAACACGAAAACUCCACAAACCCUAAACCAAAGAAUCAAAGAUUAAAUGAAGAUUCGAAGGAAUCAAAGCUUCCUAGGAGAAUGCUUUGAUCCCUGAGGUGGAUAUCUAUAUGAUGGUACAUGAAAUCGGGCGAAAUAAGGAAGAAGUGGGGACUUACCUCGCCGAAGAAUAGAGUCGGAGCUCAAAGCAGGUGCGCAGGCAUUGACGAAGAAAUCUUCAGAGAGCUUCUGAGUGAGGGAGAAUGAUGAGAGUGGUGAUUUGGUCGUAGCUCGUGCGCUUCAAUGGCCACAAAACUGAGCUUUGAGUAGAGGUGAAAAGGAGAAGAGUUGUAGAGAAAAAAUCAGAGUGAAAAGCAUCUCUCCAAAAACGGUUCUAUCUUUGAUUUAUAGUGCAAGAAAAUAACUGAAUCUGUUAGAGUUUGUUAGGUUGAACUCAGUGAGUUCUAAUUGUAAACUCACUGAGUUGGUCCUUUCCCUCUCUUGGAUCAUUAACCGAUUAAGUGAGCUCAAACAUGUGGUGACUGGCUACUGUAGGUAAAAUUGAAUGGGCUUGGUGGAGUUACUCACAUCAAGAGACCUACUGAACAGGGUUUCAUUUCUGGACUGGUGAACAAUUGCAACCUUGAUUGUUGUAUGUUGCUGUUAAUUCUACUAGCAUGAUGAUGGAGUUCCAAUUUCAUCAAAUUUGUGAACCUGGCCCAUGGGCUUACAAGGCAUUCUACACAGUGAUGCUUUGAUGUUAUGCUACCAUGGUGGAGAAUGGUCAAGAGGUUCCAUUGCAUAUGACUAGUUCUAUUGUGAACAUUGCUGAUGUUACGAAUGUGGCCCGUAGUGGUCGGGUUUUGGGGCCUGUUUUCCCGAAGGAUGUUGGUAAGAGGAUUGAGGUACCUGCAGUAGAUCUGGUUAGCGCUCCAAAGUGUCAGUUUGGUAAAUCUAGCAGUUUGAAGCCUAACGAUGAUGAUGAGGUGCUUCGUUUGAUAAAGAAGAGUGAAUUCAAUGUGGUGGAGCAUCUGCUCCAAACUCCUUCCAAAAUUCCAGUGUUGUCUUUGCUCAUGAACUCUGAAACCCACAGAGAAGCGUAGUAAAGAGUAUUGAACAACACUCAGUUGCAGUAAUUGAGGGGGGUGAAGAUGAAGAAUGCACCAAUUUCGUGACACAUGGAAAAGCUUGCAACAAUUGGAUCGUUGUUGAUGUUCCUGUUAUUGUUCAUUUCUCUAAGUAAUUGUUUUAUUAUUUGAAAAUCCUUCUCCUAUGUCUAAGGGAGAAGUGAAUAUUGUCAGGCAUCUUUCAAUUUGAUCAUUAAUAAAAUACAAUUCUAUCCA
Molecule: long non-coding RNA, 1528 nt
Organism: Lathyrus oleraceus (garden pea)
Lineage: Eukaryota; Viridiplantae; Streptophyta; Magnoliopsida; Fabales; Fabaceae
Exons: 3
Source: RefSeq, a predicted model, not a curated record